GGCUGGUCCGAGUGCAGUGGUGUUUACAAUUAAUUGAUCACAGCCAGUUACAGAUUUCUUUGUUCCUUCUUCACUCCCCCAAACUUAACUGAGCCUUUG
This is a Y RNA of Equus asinus (donkey), 99 nucleotides long. It matches the Rfam family "Y RNA". From Rfam's summary of the family: Y RNAs are components of the Ro ribonucleoprotein particle (Ro RNP), in association with Ro60 and La proteins. The Y RNAs and Ro60 and La proteins are well conserved, but the function of the Ro RNP is not known. In humans the RNA component can be one of four small RNAs -- hY1, hY3, hY4 and hY5. Lineage: Eukaryota; Metazoa; Chordata; Mammalia; Perissodactyla; Equidae. The record is from Ensembl.